This 301-nucleotide ribosomal RNA is filed under the name uncultured bacterium. Its description in RNAcentral is "partial 16S ribosomal RNA". It matches the Rfam family "Bacterial small subunit ribosomal RNA", at positions 509 to 807 of the family's 1533-position model. The record is from RNAcentral.
CAGCCGCCGCGGUAAUACGAAGGGUGCAAGCGUUACUCGGAAUUACUGGGCGUAAAGCGUGCGUAGGUGGUGGUUUAAGUCCGUUGUGAAAGCCCUGGGCUCAACCUGGGAAUUGCAGUGGAUACUGGGUCACUAGAGUGUGGUAGAGGAUAGUGGAAUUUCCGGUGUAGCAGUGAAAUGCGUAGAGAUCGGAAGGAACAUCUGUGGCGAAGGCGAUUAUCUGGGCCAACACUGACACUGAGGCACGAAAGCGUGGGGAGCAAACAGGAUUAGAUACCCCUGUAGUCCCUGUCUCUUAUAC